Molecule: small RNA, 787 nt
Filed under: Pan troglodytes (chimpanzee)
Lineage: Eukaryota; Metazoa; Chordata; Mammalia; Primates; Hominidae
Description: retained intron
Source: RNAcentral
AGAGGCUGAGCCAUUAACGACAGAGCUCGGGGAGAGAAGCUGGACUGCAGCUGGUUUCAGGAACUUCUCUUGACGAGAAGAGAGACCAAGGAGGCCAAGCAGGGGCUGGGCCAGAGGUGCCAACAUGGGGAAACUGAGGCUCGGCUCGGAAAGGUGAAGUAACUUGUCCAAGAUCACAAAGCUGGUGAACAUCAAGUUGGUGCUAUGGCAAGGCUGGGAACCUGCAGCCUGACUUGGGCUGCCCUGAUCAUCCUGCUGCUCCCCGGAAGUGAGUAUGGCCAAGGAUGAGGGUGCAGUGGGGAGGGGAAGCUACAAGGAGAGAUAUUGGGAAUUUCCUUGCACUGCCACAUGGCUCCUGGGAUUCCCAGAGAAUCCCAAGAGACUCAAGACUGAGCCACAGAUGUGGGGUAGCUGGUCUCCCACCCACAGACUUCCACAGGCAAACCACCACCCAAGAGGAAUGGUGAGACGACCCGGGCUGGUCAUCCUGGAAAAGGCCAGUGAGGCGCAGAUCUUGUCCGCAAAUCUCUACCAAGCUGUCAGAAGCAACCCAUGGGUCCUAUGCAGCCUUGGUGGGCAGCAAAGGGAUCAGGAUGGAAGCUACAAGGGGACAGGUUUCAUCCUGAAACAAAGAAGCCCAGGCAGAGCUUGAUUUCCAACCAUGGAAACUCUGUCUUGAGAGGUACAGAACUUCCCAUCCCCAGGGGUAUGCAAGCUGAAGCCAGGAUUGACAAAGAUGCUGUGCAGCAGGGGUUGGCAAACUUUGUCUGACAGUAAUGUUUGGGCU